This 73-nucleotide transfer RNA is filed under the name Schistosoma margrebowiei. It matches the Rfam family "tRNA". From Rfam's summary of the family: Transfer RNA (tRNA) molecules are approximately 80 nucleotides in length. Their secondary structure includes four short double-helical elements and three loops (D, anti-codon, and T loops). The record is from Rfam by way of RNAcentral. Lineage: Eukaryota; Metazoa; Platyhelminthes; Trematoda; Strigeidida; Schistosomatidae.
GCCGGAAUAGCUUAGUUGGUAAAGCGUAGGACUGAAGUUAUAGGUAUCCUCUGUUCGAUCUCGGGUUCCGGCA